UGGCGCCCGAACAGGGACCUGGAAACGAGGGACUCCGUGAGGAAGAGGACGCCAAAGGAUGGUCGACCGCUAACGAAGACAAAAGGAGUCAAACUCUUCCGAUCACUGUGGGAACCUGCCGCGUCAGAAUCGAAGGUAAGUGACGCAUCCGAAAUGGGACAAGAAUUAAGCCAACAUCAAAUAUAUGUAGGACAAUUAAAAGAGGCUUUAAAGAUACGAGGAGUAAAGGUUAAAGGUAAUGAUUUGUUUAAAUUUUUUGAUUUUGUAAAAGACACUUGCCCUU
Molecule: non-coding RNA, 283 nt
Organism: Macaca mulatta (Rhesus monkey)
Lineage: Eukaryota; Metazoa; Chordata; Mammalia; Primates; Cercopithecidae
Source: Rfam